ACUUGGGUGGCUCAGUUGGUUAAGCAUCUGACUUCAGCUCAGGUCAUGAUCUCUCGGUUCAUGAGUUCGAGCCCAAGUC
This 79-nucleotide transfer RNA is filed under the name Felis catus (domestic cat). It matches the Rfam family "tRNA". Rfam says of the family: Transfer RNA (tRNA) molecules are approximately 80 nucleotides in length. Lineage: Eukaryota; Metazoa; Chordata; Mammalia; Carnivora; Felidae. The record is from Rfam by way of RNAcentral.